This 253-nucleotide ribosomal RNA is filed under the name uncultured bacterium. RNAcentral's name for it is "partial 16S ribosomal RNA". It matches the Rfam family "Bacterial small subunit ribosomal RNA", at positions 524 to 776 of the family's 1533-position model. The record is from RNAcentral.
UACGUAGGCAGCGAGCGUUGUUCGGAGUUACUGGGCGUAAAGAGUGCGUAGGCGGUGCCCUAAGUCUGGUGUGAAAUCUCCCGGCUCAACCGGGAGGGUGCGCCGGAAACUGGGGUGCUCGAGUGUGGGAGAGGCAGGCGGAAUUCCCGGUGUAGCGGUGAAAUGCGUAGAUAUGCGGAGGAACACCGAUGGCGAAGGCAGCCCCCUGGGCCGACACUGACGCUCAGGCACGAAAGCGUGGGGAGCAAACAGG